Molecule: small nuclear RNA, 98 nt
Filed under: Myotis davidii
Lineage: Eukaryota; Metazoa; Chordata; Mammalia; Chiroptera; Vespertilionidae
Source: RNAcentral
UCGAUUUGGCAGCACGUAUACUAAAAUUGGAAAGAUACAGAGAAGAUUAGCAUGGCCUCUGGAAAAAAAAAAGAAAGAAAGAAAGUAUAGACCAUCUU